GUGGCGAGCGGCGGACGGGUGAGUAAUGCAUAGGAAUCUGCCCGGUAGUGGGGGAUAACGUGGGGAAACCCACGCUAAUACCGCAUACGUCCUACGGGAGAAAGCGGAGGAUCUUCGGACUUCGCGCUAUCGGAUGAGCCUAUGUCGGAUUAGCUAGUUGGUAAGGUAACGGCUUACCAAGGCGACGAUCCGUAGCUGGUCUGAGAGGAUGAUCAGCCACACUGGGACUGAGACACGGCCCAGACUCCUACGGGAGGCAGCAGUGGGGAAUAUUGGACAAUGGGCGAAAGCCUGAUCCAGCCAUGCCGCGUGUGUGAAGAAGGCUUUCGGGUUGUAAAGCACUUUCAGCGAGGAAGAAAGCCUCUGGGCCAAUACCCCAGAGGAAGGACAUCACUCGCAGAAGAAGCACCGGCUAACUCCGUGCCAGCAGCCGCGGUAAUACGGAGGGUGCGAGCGUUAAUC
This 462-nucleotide ribosomal RNA is filed under the name bacterium N0182. RNAcentral describes it as "bacterial SSU rRNA". It matches the Rfam family "Bacterial small subunit ribosomal RNA", at positions 88 to 546 of the family's 1533-position model. The record is from RNAcentral.